UGAGAUCCUGCAGCUCCACCUGCCUGUUAAGAUGCUGCCUCAACGAUUUUCCUGAUAAAGUGAUGACAUCCACAAACAAACUAAUCAGUUGGACAAUCUGUGGCUAAUUUAACUCAUAAAUAUCAUCCAUAAUAUAAUGAUCCAUACAAUAAUAACUAAACUCCUGAUGGUGUUAAUUUAACACACAUUAGUUCUACAUGUUUCUGAUGUCAAAAACAAUGUUUGGACUAAUUGCAGAACAUGUAGCUAAGCAGUUUAAGUUAAGCUGCUUAAAAAAGCACACAAUGUCUUCCAUCUUUCACUUUUUUUUCACAAAAAUUCACAAUAAUUAAGUUGGUUGAUGUUUGGACAUUUAUCAUAAAUUAGCUUUCACCCCCACACCUGAUAUACAGUAAUAUAAGUUGUCUGAUGUUAGUUAUGUCCAGCAUUAGCCCUGCUGGGGAUAAAUAAAGUUAUUUGAAUUGAAUUGAAUUGAAUUACAUUGAGUUUUUAGCUCUGUUAUGUUUGACCGUUUCAAAUUCACCUCAUUCAUCUCUCAGGCGCUACUGUCAAUGCUACAGCUAACCGACAAUGCUUAGUAAAACUCGAGGGUUGCCAGCCCAUCAGUUCAAUUAUACCCCAUAUCUCUUGCUCUCAUCUCCUUUAAAGUUGCCUAAUUCCUGGUAACUCAGAAGAAAUCAGAAGGCUUCUCUCCUAGUGCGGAGCAACAGUAUAUUCAUGGAUCACCAAAGAAAAAUAAAGUGGAAGUCAGACAAUUUAGAUGAAAAGCCAUUGUCUCCGUGUGUCUCCCAGGAGGUUUUUCCAUGUAGUCAAUGCGUUAUAACCAGCCUGUAAGUACUGAGGAGCGAGGAUUUUAGAGGCUGCUUCUGAAAGCAGGUCUAUGUACAGGUAAAUCACAUGAGCUCAUCACUCCAGGGAGAACUAUAUUGUGUGCUAAUCAGAAAAGAAUAAAGCUACAUCCUUGCUUUACUGGUUCACAGUGAGAAUUUCUGGGUUUGGUAUGUAGGUGUAGCAGGAUUGUCUCAUAUCUUUAAAAAAAAUAACGGAUAGAGUAUCCCAUCGAAGACACUUUAACAUAACAAAUGUGACACAUGCAAAUGUUUUAACAGACAAACAUGCACACAAAUGUUCAAACGCACACACACACAUACACAAUCUGGGCAUUGCUGGCGUCUCCAGCCCCGAGGACAGUUCUGCUCUGUUGCGUGUGGGACCUUAACCCAGCAGAGUGUGAAUCAUAGUCCAGCAGUCAGGUCGGUUAACCCUCUGUGAGUCUCCCGGCACAUCCAUUCAAACAGACAGACAGUGUGCUUCAGCUACAAUUUAUAUAUAGCUUCUUUAUGUCCAGGGGGAGUUCAAGGCAGAUGAGUAGUGGCAUAUCUCUACUUAGCUCAAAUUAUGUACAUUAAUGUACGAUUUUACAGCUACAGGAGACUGAAAAACACUCAAAUAACUGCAUUUCAUCUGCUUCUUUUCAAACAUUCUUGAUUUUGAAUAGGAUACACUACCAAAGACCAGCUGUAAUAGAAAUAUCCCACUUGUCACUGUAUUAUUUCAAUCCAGCCCAAUCAUUCAAAAUUUGUGCCAUUUUACCUGAAAGGUUGACACAAUCAGCCACCCUUUUAACUGAAAGGUUGAUCCAAUCAGUAUUCAACACACCGCACUUAGUCCCUGAAUGAGUCUAUUCAUUUAUGUAGAAAUGCGCCUGUAGUAAAAUAUGUGUGAAGAAAAAGCACUUUUACCUGCACACUCACGGAGUAAAAGCAAAAGGAAAACUUAUCUGUGAUUCUUAUGCGUGGAUUUGAAUGCAUCAUCCCACACACAGUGCGGAGGUCUUGCUGAAUCAGAAUGUCAGUCAGGGUGACAGAGGCAUUCACAUUUACAUGCAGCAAAGCCAACAUCCAUACACAGCGCUGAGUCACGAUUGCAUGCCCCUGAAGAGGUAUUGUUCAUUCUGUCUAGUUGGAAAACAUCUCUCAAGGGAUGUGACCUUAGUCGCUGACAAAGAAUCUGACCUUUGCAUCAUAUCGUCUGUUAACACAUCACAUACUGCUUGGUUAUACAGCAUUACAGCAUUCAAGACAUAUACCUACACUACCUAAAGCAGUUUUGCUGUUAAAAUGCAACAUUGUGACAUUUAAUGCACAAAUAUAACAGAUGCAGAUUUUUUUUAAACAGGAUCUGAACUUGCUCCUUGUAAUAAAACAGAAAAAGAUGCAAUAAACCUUGUCACAUUGAAAUUAUUGGAGCUUGGUGUUCAGAAUGCAAUCUUCAUGUGUCUCAAUCUCUGCCUCUGAAUCUUGUGCCACACCUGCCCACUAGGAGCCCUCAGUGCAUCUUUCACCCCUCCAUAUCACCUCAGUGCCCAUGUGACCUGCUACCUGCCUACACAGUUGUUUCCCAUCAGCUCGUUAGCUCACUAGGAGAUAACGAAGGCAGUUCUAGCUGACAAAUUAGCUAAGCGUUGCAAAAAAGUAUAGAUGUAGGCGUACCAUUAGCAUAUCCACAAUAACGGAAGAACAGAACAGAAUGUCAGAGCGCAAUAAAACAAAAAAUAUAUAUCUUUUCAGCAAAUAUAAUGGGAGAGAGAUGAGUUUGUACCUGCCAAUACAGCCAUGAGAUAUUGUGAAGUUUGGAGAGGAUCGAACGAACAUAUUAUUAUAACUCAGUUAUUACAAUAUAAACAUCAAAUACAAUAUUGACAAUAUAAUCACUGUGCAUUACUGUUUAUAAAGCAUUUACUGAGUAUCUCAUAAAGCAUUCAGACUCACAAAGCAGCUGUGAAGAAGCAGCGAAUUAAGCAUAUUCUGAGUGUAGAAAAGAACAAUGAGUAAAGAAACAUUUUAUGUGCAAAAACUAUUAGAAGUACGUGUAAAACCAUCUUCUUCUUCUUUCGACUGUUCCAGCUAGGGGUCGCCAUUUCUAUCUCUUCCUGUCCUCUGCAUCUUCCUCUGUCGUGACAACCACCUGCAUGUCUUCCCUCACCAUAUCCAUAAACCCCCUCUUCAGCCUUGCUCUUUUCCUCUUGCCUGUCAGCUCCAUUUUCAGCAUCCUUAUCCCAGUAUAACCAGUAUCUCUCCUCCGUCUAAACCAUCUCCAUCUCACCUGUCGCUUUGUCUCCAAACUGUCCAACCUGAGCUGUCCCUCUAAUCUACUCAUUCCUUAUCCUGUCCAUCCUCGUCACUCCCAAUGAAAAUCUUAGUAUCUUCAACUGUGCCACCUCCAGCUCUGUCUACUGUCUUUUCGUCAGUGCCACCACUUCCAAACCAUACAACAUAGCUGGUCUCACUAACCUCUUGUAAACCUUCCCUUUCACUCUUGUCGGUACCCUCCUGUCGCAGAUCACUUCUGACACUCUUCUCCACCCACUCUACCCUGCCUGCUCUCUCUUCUUCAUCUCUCUUCCACACUCCCUGUUACUUUGAACAUGGGCCGGUCCAUUUAGUUGGCCACAAAGCCACCAGCAAUGUGGGGAAAAAUAAUUGCGGGAAAAAAAAUUCAACCUGCCGGCUGUGGCCCACUUGAUGUUGGAUCAUCCCAUCUGACUGGGGGUUACAUGGUCCCAAUUGUCAAUAGGCUACCUACACUUUAAGGCAGGUAUAGAAAGUGCUACCGUUGUUCUCCCACCACCCUUUCAAGUGGAUGUGUCCAUCCAUGUAAUGUAAGAAGUCAAGCGGGAAAUAAUCAGAUCAAGACAGAGAGAGUGGAGUUGCUAGCCAAUAUAAAUGGAUAAAGGUCCCAAAAAGCAAAAAAGUGGAGCAGAAAAGUUUUUACCCCCAAGAAGAGGAAGCCGCUGCCAAGGAUGAGCGAAAGGUGGCAUAUGAGCGCAGCUUUUCAACUUUAAAAUUCAUCAAGAAUAGAUUACGGAGCACUACAUCUUGAAGCGUUCAUGCUUAUGGCUACAGAAAAAGACAUUCUCAUUGCUUUGGACACCGAUGGAAUAAUCAACAGGAUGGCAGAGAAGAGAGCACUGAUGAGACAUCCUCUCACUGCCUAAGGUCGCUCAUAAAAGUUCUAACAGGGGGUUAGACGUCUCUGGGGACGAAUGAAGCCCUAACAUACAUCGGACCAGAGAACAUCGCAUGGACACUGAUACCUUCCUCUGGGAUCCAUUCUCCUCUCCAAUUGAUGGAAACCAAAAAAGGGCCUUUGGCCAGACAGGUCCCAUUAUGUCUCAAUGACAGAGCCUGGGGGUGAAAGACACUCUGUUCUUUCCUCAGCGCACCUUUGGGUCUCAACGAGGAAUGACAUAUGCCCUGAUGAACAGAGAAGGGGGUGAUAUGCCUGCCAAAUGCAAGUCAAGUUGUAUGUUACUGGUCUGAACUUUGUUUCAGCUCAGAAGUACACUUCUUCUUCCAUCCCCCACCACCAUUUUUGGUUAACAAAAGUGCAAGCAACCUUCGGACAUAAACGAUCUUCUAACCUAACACACCACCACAAACCAUUUGAUUUUUUUUUGUCAUUUUCACUGUUUAGCUCUGCGUUUAGCCAAAAUCACAAUAGCCAUAGGCACUAAUGAUCUCCGAGUCCAGAGCCCCCUUUGCUCCCUGUCACAUACCCACCUCAUGACCUCAUGACUGGAUGUAUGCAUUAAACAGAUGUGGCUGGCUAUGAGAGGCCUGAAACAGGAUAGGACAGCCUAUAGCCUUUAGGCUGGUCUUCUCUGGCCUUGAAGCCAGGGGCCUCUGGGUCCAGAGGACAGGAUAAACAGGAUAGAUGUGUGUGCAUGUGGAGGGGGGGUGUGUGUGAAAGACAGACAGAGAAAGAGAGAGAGAGAGAGAAACCCCUUUCCCACAUGCAACACAUAAAUGUUCAGGCAGUUUUCCAUGUCAGUGUCACGUGAGAACAGUGAGUCCAUUUUCAGUGUACGAUGCGCCGGCAAUUUACAGGCUCAAGAAAAAAAAGUAGCAAUAUUCAUGCUAUACUUUUGUUAUGUUUAUAUGUAUACACAGAAAAAAAGUAAAUCAGGACACUGAGCCCAUUUAUUACAAAUGAUAAUCUCGAUAUUUGUAAUAUCAUCUGCAUAUUUUACAAACAUAUAUAACUGUUUUUGUGAACCUUUGAAUCACCCUCACCUCAUUACCCUGUAAAGCAUGAAAAUGCACUUGCAGGAACUACUUUCAUAUGGCGAUCCACUUCAAAAAUGAUCACGCUUUAUCAGGUGGGUUUUCAUUGAGUGGCAGUGCAGCUAUUGAAAGUCAACUGCAGAAAAGCAUUUUAUUCAAGAGGUAU
Molecule: long non-coding RNA, 5232 nt
Organism: Thunnus maccoyii (southern bluefin tuna)
Lineage: Eukaryota; Metazoa; Chordata; Actinopteri; Scombriformes; Scombridae
Exons: 6
Source: RefSeq, a predicted model, not a curated record